This 377-nucleotide ribosomal RNA is filed under the name uncultured eukaryote. RNAcentral describes it as "partial 18S ribosomal RNA". It matches the Rfam family "Eukaryotic small subunit ribosomal RNA", at positions 592 to 976 of the family's 1831-position model. The record is from RNAcentral.
CAAUAGCGUAUAUUAAAGUUGUUGCAGUUAAAAAGCUCGUAGUUGGAUUUCGGGGUGGCCUGCCUGGUCCACCGCAAGGUGAGUACUGGUCAGCCGCCCUUCCUCUCGAAAGCCCCGACUGCUCUUCAUUGCAGUGGUCGGGUAGUUCGGGACGUUUACUUUGAAAAAAUUAGAGUGUUCAAGGCAGGCCGUCGCCUGAAUACAUUAGCAUGGAAUAAUGGAAGAGGACCUCGGUCCUAUUUUGUUGGUUUCUAGGGCCGAAGUAAUGAUUAAGAGGGACAGUUGGGGGCAUUCGUAUUUAAUUGUCAGAGGUGAAAUUCUUGGAUUUAUGAAAGACGAACUAGUGCGAAAGCAUUUGCCAAGGAUGUUUUCAUUAA